AUUGUUAAAAAGAGGGUCUGAUUAGGUUAAUGUCUCGAAGGUCAAGCUCUCAAUCAGGCUAGGACCAACUUUCUGGUUAGCUCCUAUUGGUUCUUGCUACUUUUGUAAUCUUUCCCUUUCUAUAAUUCUUGUAGAUAUCUACUUUCUAAUAAAGCUGGAUGGUAAUUGUCUCCCUUACAUCAACAAAAAAAAAAGAAAGAAGAAGAAGAAAAAGAAAAGUGAACACAUAAUUUAAAUAUAUUGUUGGGAUGACUAGCUUGGUGUUGAAGCUAGUAGAUCUAGAAUGGCUAGAGUUUGAUCUGAUAC
Molecule: long non-coding RNA, 306 nt
Filed under: Elaeis guineensis (African oil palm)
Lineage: Eukaryota; Viridiplantae; Streptophyta; Magnoliopsida; Arecales; Arecaceae
Description: long non-coding RNA (EGUI_LNC032814)
Source: RNAcentral